AUUGAACGCUGGCGGCAGGCCUAACACAUGCAAGUCGAGCGCGCGGCGGACGGGUGAGUAAUGUCUGGGAAACUGCCUGAUGGCGGGGGAUCACUACUGGAAACGGUAGCUACUACCGCAUACCAUCAGAUGUGCCCAGAUGGGAUGGGCUAGUAGGUGGGGUACCGGCUCACCUAGGCGACGAUCCCUAGCUGGUCUGUGAGGAUGACCAGCCACACUGGAACUGAGACACGGUCCAGAGGCUUACGGGAGGAAGCAGUGGGGAAUAUGGCACAAUGGGCGCAAGCCGGAUGCAGCCAUGCCGCGUGUGUGAAGACGGCCUUCGGGUUGUAAAGCACUUUCAGCGGGGAGGCGUUACCCGCAGAAGAAGCACCGGCUAACUCCGUGCCAGCAGCCGCGGUAAUUC
RNAcentral lists this ribosomal RNA (406 nucleotides) under uncultured bacterium. RNAcentral's name for it is "partial 16S ribosomal RNA". It matches the Rfam family "Bacterial small subunit ribosomal RNA", at positions 29 to 526 of the family's 1533-position model. The record is from RNAcentral.